This 313-nucleotide non-coding RNA is filed under the name Methylophaga thalassica MP. Its description in RNAcentral is "Methylophaga aminisulfidivorans MP Rickettsia sRNA47". It matches the Rfam family "Rickettsia sRNA47". The record is from Rfam by way of RNAcentral. Lineage: Bacteria; Pseudomonadati; Pseudomonadota; Gammaproteobacteria; Thiotrichales; Piscirickettsiaceae.
UCAUCUUAACAGCAGUGUCAUUAGUGAGAGGCAUGACAGUCUGCACAGAGCCUUUACCAAAGGUUUUUGUACCCAUAAUGACCGCACGAUCAUGAUCUUGUAAGGCACCAGCUACAAUUUCCGAAGCAGAUGCAGAACCACCAUUAACCAAUACAACUAAUGGAGCACCUUUCAGCAUAUCGUCAGGAGUGGCGUGGAAUUUCUGAUCAGAAUCUGGAAUACGGCCUUCAGUGUAAACAAUGAGCCCUUUUUCAAUGAAGGCAUCAGAGACUUCAACCGCGGCAUCUAAUACACCACCAGGAUUGUUGCGUAA